UACGAAGGGUGCAAGCGUUAUCCGGAUUCACUGGGUUUAAAGGGUGCGUAGGUGGGUUGAUAAGUCAGUGGUGAAAUCCCCGAGCUUAACUUGGGAACUGCCAUUGAUACUAUUGAUCUUGAAUACCGUGGAGGUCAGCGGAAUAUGUCAUGUAGCGGUGAAAUGCUUAGAUAUGACAUAGAACACCAAUUGCGAAGGCAGCUGGCUACGCGAAUAUUGACACUGAUGCACGAAAGCGUGGGGAUCAAACAGG
Molecule: ribosomal RNA, 253 nt
Filed under: uncultured bacterium
Lineage: Bacteria
Description: partial 16S ribosomal RNA
Rfam family: Bacterial small subunit ribosomal RNA
Source: RNAcentral